UGGGGAAUAUUGCACAAUGGGCGCAAGCCUGAUGCAGCGACGCCGCGUGGGGGAUGACGGCCUUCGGGUUGUAAACUCCUUUCGCUAGGGACGAAGCUUUUUGUGACGGUACCGAGAUAAGAAGCACCGGCUAACUACGUGCCAGCAGCCGCGGUAAUACGUAGGGUGCGAGCGUUGUCCGGAAUUACUGGGCGUAAAGGGCUCGUAGGUGGUUUGUCGCGUCGUCUGUGAAAUUCCGGGGCUUAACCCCGGGCGUGCAGGCGAUACGGGCAUAACUUGAGUACUGUAGGGGUAACUGGAAUUCCUGGUGUAGCAGUGAAAUGCGCAGAUAUCAGGAGGAACACCGAUGGCGAAGGCAGGUUACUGGGCAGUUACUGACGCUGAGGAGCGAAAGCAUGGGUAGCGAACAGG
RNAcentral lists this ribosomal RNA (411 nucleotides) under Actinomycetes bacterium. Its description in RNAcentral is "Actinobacteria bacterium partial 16S ribosomal RNA". It matches the Rfam family "Bacterial small subunit ribosomal RNA", at positions 355 to 776 of the family's 1533-position model. The record is from RNAcentral. Lineage: Bacteria; Bacillati; Actinomycetota; Actinomycetes.